Molecule: long non-coding RNA, 2551 nt
Filed under: Pogonomyrmex barbatus (red harvester ant)
Lineage: Eukaryota; Metazoa; Arthropoda; Insecta; Hymenoptera; Formicidae
Description: uncharacterized LOC105426149
Source: RNAcentral
ACUACAAACAAACAAAUCCGAAUCUCUCCGGAGAUAAAAAGAUCAUCUUAUCUUAAUAGAGCGGUGGCGGCGGCUUAAUUACCGCUCACAACCGCUUCGAUCCGAACCGUUCUAAAUCCGAUCCGAAAAUCGGAUCGCGGCUGUAUAAAAAAUCGUCUUCCGUUCGAAAAGAUCAAAUCUCCUACGGAUCACAACGCUCGCUCCCACGAGCCUGAUCUGAUGCUCCAUCUCGAGUAAGACGCAGCGAGAAAACCGAGGUGAUGGAAAUCCGCGGUCGCCUGAAAAUUCCCGGCAAGCUACGUCUUCCUCCUCAUCCAUACCGCCGCUUCCCGCAACUCCAGGGAAGAAGACUAUGAGUUAGAGUGUUCCUUGCCCCGCCGGGUGACCGGCAUCCAGUUGCUCGAUUCCAUCCAAACAACACCCGCUCAGGAGAAGCACAUCGUUGCGGUGAGGGCAAUCCGCCUCCGUCGGGAAAUACCGGCCGAUUGCUCGUUCUUGAAUUAUCCGAACAAGUCGCUUAGUCGCUUGAUGUUUCAGGGAUUGGAUAUUUUUUUUGUCGUUUGAGCAUAUGUAGUAUUAUUCGAUGUAUUCGGUUGUAUUUGUCUAGCUGCAGUUAUAUUUGUUCGUUGCUUUUGAUAUACUGAUUUGUCGGUUUGUUCCGUUUGUUGCUUUGGCCUUAGUCUAGGAUAUAAUUUCUGCUACAAUUGUUUGUACAUAUACUUCGCAUCCUUUAUAACUUGCUGGAUGAUUUCCUUCACAGUUACAACAUUUUAUUUCUCUUUUUUUUUUUGAACAUUUACCAUGUAUUUUCCUGCGCAUUUUAUGCAUCUUGGUCCUUUAAAGCAAUAGUUUUUGGUGUGAUCGUAUGCUUGACAUUUUGUGCACUGUGGAAUUUCCCUUUUUUUAUAAGUUUGCUCAAAGCUUAUUGUAUCGAGUAAUUGGUUAAUUUUGUAAAUAUUCUUAUUAUUUUCCUUUUGCUCUAAUUUUACGAAGAACAAGAGUAAUGGCCUCUUUGUUCUAGUGUGCAGAACAUGUGCAGUAUUUGUUAUGCUUAUUAUUUUAUGAUUUUUAGCUUCUAUUUCUUCUUUGAAUUUUACCAAGUUUGUUGUUGGAUGCAUAUUUCUUAAUAUAACUUUAAAUUUUUUAUCAGUUUUGUUUUAGUAUGUGAAGCCUUGCGUACUCUUUUUUUCAAUGUAUCCAUAUGAUGAGUAUGUAUUUUUCUAUGGCGAGCGGUUAUAUCUUGACUUGGUUUUCCUUAAUAUUGUAUAUUGAUUUUUUGCAAUCUCAUCGAGUAGAAGUUUUAGAGGAAUAAUAUUUUCAACGCCUUCUAUAAAAAAUAGGAGAAGCUUUUAUUACAGUUUUUUCUGAGUUAUUAUCUUCUUUUUUCUGAAUCUGUAGAUUCAUCAUUGUUUAGUUUCUCGUAAAUGUUGCUCGUUUCGAAUGAGUUAUUUAACAAAUAAUCAUUCAUAGAUGUUUGACGUUUUCUAGUAUUAAUUUUAUCAGAGCUACUUCUCAUCUUCUUAUUUUCCACCCUGUUGCCAGUUUUGUCCUAGUUCUUGAUUUUUUUUUGUUGUUGACUAUGUUGCUGCUGCUUUAGUAUCUGCAUUUGUGGUUGCAUGUUUGAUGCGCUGAUUUAAUUGAAUAAGUAGACUGUGCAUGUUGAUUCAAAUUCGGCGUGUGCCGAAUGUAGGCAUGCCGUUGGUAAGCAUGUACACCGGAUACUACAUCUAUAUCUUGUGUGCCUACGCAGGUCUUACGGCCUUACGGCCUUACGGCAUGCAAAACAGCUGACAACAAGCUGAUGAUAUUCUAUAGAGGUUAUGCCAAACCUUGAUUUGAAGACAACAGAUUGCAAGAUGGGUCCACUCUUUAUUCGAUUAAGGCCAAAAGUUAGCUAGGCCAAGAUCUAUAAAGAAAGAGCGCCCCGUGAGGGAUGCAGAAUAGAGGCAGAAAAGCAGUUUGUCAAAGCAGAACUGUACAUACGUGACAAGAUGAAUCAAGCUGAGGACAUUGGGAAAGAUAACCAUGAGGUCCCGCUAUUAGAUUGACGUCUUGCAAAGCACCCUGUGUAUUGAGAUAAUUACAUGGAAAGUUUAAUUCCGAGGUGUUAAACAAGGUAGUAGAUUCGCAAAUACAAUAAAAAGUAUAUUUUAACUAGGCCAAAUACACUCGACAGUAAAAGUAUGAGAUCAUUCAUACUUUCCUCUUAAAAUAAAAACUUAUUUUUCUUUUUUAUAUCGAUCCUUUAGAUAAAGAUUUUACAGAUUUUUUAAUGAAAUUAUAUCUAUGCAAAAGGAGAUCCAUUAAAUCACAAAAAUUUUAAUAAAAUUUGCCAAGUUUCAUGGUAUAAAUUAAAAGUCGCACACAAAUGCUGUUUAUAACUUUCGCAACAGCGAAUCUUUAGCUUUAAUUUGAAUGUCUGUUAAUCGUUGUCCGAUUUUUUUCUUAUUGAAUUACUCAAUAUUGAAAGCAAAACAUAUCUUUUUCAUUUUAAUUGUUCACAGAAGGCAGACACAGCAGCGAUCAGUAUUUAAAAAAAAAAAAAAAAAAA